AUUGAACGCUGGCGGCAUGCCUUACACAUGCAAGUCGAACGGUAACAGGUUAAGCUGACGAGUGGCGAACGGGUGAGUAAUGUAUCGGAACGUGCCCAGUCGUGGGGGAUAACUGCUCGAAAGAGCAGCUAAUACCGCAUACGACCUGAGGGUGAAAGCGGGGGAUCGCAAGACAUCGCGCGAUUGGAGCGGCCGAUAUCAGAUUAGGUAGUUGGUGAGGUAAAGGCUCACCAAGCCGACGAUCUGUAGCUGGUCUGAGAGGACGACCAGCCACACUGGGACUGAGACACGGCCCAGACUCCUACGGGAGGCAGCAGUGGGGAAUUUUGGACAAUGGGCGCAAGCCUGAUCCAGCCAUGCCGCGUGCGGGAAGAAGGCCUUCGGGUUGUAAACCGCUUUUGUCAGGGAAGAAAAGGUUCUGGCUAAUACCUGGGACUCAUGACGGUACCUGAAGAAUAAGCACCGGCUAACUACGUG
This 477-nucleotide ribosomal RNA is filed under the name uncultured bacterium. RNAcentral describes it as "partial 16S ribosomal RNA". It matches the Rfam family "Bacterial small subunit ribosomal RNA", at positions 30 to 507 of the family's 1533-position model. The record is from RNAcentral.